GUUUUCAGUCGAUCGAGAGAUAACACAAUAUAUGGAAGGUGUUUUUCGAGGACUGGAAAAUUUGUUGGCAUAAACAUUGAUGAAUAAUUAAAUAUUUUGCGUUUUAUUUACAAUUUUCAUGUAUUUUUGAGUUUGUUAUUAUUGAAUAUUGUUAUAUUAAAUAAGAAAAUUUAUUAUGAUCUAACUACUUUUUUUAUUAUUUUUCUGUUUUUCCUAUUUAUAUAUUAUAUUUUUUUACAUUUUUUAUUUAUAUCUCCAAUCUCACAAUUUCUGUUCAUAUUACAUAUUUUCAAAGAAAAUCGCAUAUCUUCAAUAUUGCAAGUUUGUAAAAUUGUUAAAGCAAAUAUUUAAUUGAAAUGAGUAAAGACUGAAGUUAAAGUAAAAAGAACAAAAUAAUGGUUUUUGAUAUGAAAAUUAAAAAAAAAAAAACAUAAAAUUGAGAAUAAAAUAAUAAUCGGCUUUGUUCGUCUGUGUAUGUGUGGGUGAAAGCAUUUUGCAAUUAUGAAGCGAUGAAGGCCUUACAAAAUGCAUUUGAUUCCAACAAAUCACAUAAGGAAAAUUAAUUACAAUAACACUAAGACUUUGCAAUGGAAAUUGGCGAAUUGAGUAACGGUUUAAAUUUUCACGAAAACAGCGUUUUGAAAAUUUUUAGGUUAUUUUAUAAAUUUCCACACAAAUUACACACGUUGAAAACCAUUUAAAGCAAGAUUCUGUAAUGAAAAAAAAAACACUUAUAUAGUACAUAUGUAUAUAAAUAUAUAAAAAUAUAGUAAACAUACAUAAAUACGUUUGUAUAGUAGUCCAGCUAGUUGUAAGUGUCGGCGCGUGCAAUCUUGUACAUAUGUAUUUGUAUUUUGCAUAAGUAAGAUUUAAACAUUUACAUCUGUAACACAUACACAUAAGUAGUUGAAUUGAGCAGGUCCACUUUAUUAGCAUGUGUCUCUAGUAUUAUGCAGACAUACAUAGUUACAAAAUAGUAUGAACCAUUGUCGUCCAUUUUUUCAAAGGCGCUGUAGCGCGAACUUUUUAUUGCUGUAGUAAUUUAAAACUUGAAAAUAAUUAUUUAUAUGUUUCUUAUACAAUUAAGUAUUAUGUCGAUACAUGUGUAUAUGUAUGUGAAAAUCCAUUGCCAAAACAGUGUUGCUGAAAAGUUUGAAUUUUUAAGAAAGUUGUUUUGCAUUUGUUAAGACACCUCAUAUAGUCAGUCAUAUCUGCAUAAGCUUGCAUAAAAAUGUAUGUAGUAUAUACAUAUGUAAGUAUAAUUAAAUAUACAUAUGUACAUAUACAUAUGUAUGUAAAUCAUAAACAUUUUUGAAAAUAUUUUUCGUUCACUAAUUAUUUUGACUUUCUUUGGAGCUCUAAUUGAAAAAGUAUCGAAACUGUCACUAUACAUAUAUUGAAUGAAUCGAACAAGUAACUGGUAUAAAUUUUAUAAACUGGCAUAAUUGAGUUAAGUGGUUAAAGAAAGAUAUUUUACGACUUGAAAGAGCCGUCUACAAAAUUUUGCAGAGCGAUGAAUCGAACAAUAACUGGUAUAAAUCGUAUAAACUGGCAUAAUUGAGUAAAGUGGUUAAAGAAAGAUAUUUUACGACUUGAAAGAGCCAUCUCCAAAAUUUUGAAGAGCGAUGAAUUGAAAGGUAACUGGUAUAAAUCGUAUGAACUAGCAUAAUUGAGUAAAGUGGUUAAAGAAAGAUAUUUUACGACUUGAAAGAGUCCUCCCCAAAAAUUUUGCAGAGCAAUGAAUCGGAUAAGUAACUGGUAUAAACCGUAUAAACUGGCAUAAUUGAGUAAAGUGGUUGAAGAAAAAUAUUUUACGGCUGGACGGAGCCAUCCACUUACACUUUAACACUGAAUUCAAUUGCAUAACUUUUUGAGCUGUUGCUCUCUCAUCCAAAUUAAUGUAAAAUAGAGCAGUGUUGAAAGAUAGUCUAAAGCAUAGAGCAGUAUAGUAUCGGCUUAUAGUGACACAGCUAGUUUAUUUUUAACACGUUUUCAAUCCACAAUAAAUUAAGCAUAUCAGAAUUAUAGAUGAAAUUUUAUAUUUUUUAUCAGCUGGCAAAGCUUCUUGCGCAGCUGUACUUAAGUUGAAUAUUUUUUUUCCUGGUUUAGCAAACAAAAUGUGUGUUUUGGUUAUAAAAUAGUUCCAAAACGGUUAUAAAAUGGUUAUAUAUUGGUUAUAUUGGACUGAAUGUAUAAAAAAUAAAUUUUAACAACAAGAAUGAGAUUUAGGAACUAAAAAAAGAGAACUAAAUAUAACAUUUAUAAACUAUUUGACUAUUUUAAGCAUGAUUUCAUUACUUGCAACUAUAAUUGAAUUUACUAAAAAAAUUAAUAUAGUGUUAAAAAGCACACUUUUAAAUGUACAUAUAGACAUACAUACAUACAUCAUCAACUCAUCGUUGCCAAGUCACAGACACCACACGCGAACAUAACUAUCUCACCAAGCAAUCAUACAUUUAAUUAUAAGUAAAAAGAAAACAUUACUUCAAGAAACGACUUUUUCAUUUUAAAUACCGUUACGUAGAUUUUCAACAUUUUAAAUCGUGUAACAUGACAUAUGUAAUUAUAUUCAACUCCAACAAAUUUUUAACUCGUCAAUAAUUCGGACUUGUUUUUUUCAAAUUCUUUAAUACGUCAAAUUUUUGAAAAAAAAAAAUUACAGUGUAUUUCAUAAAAAAGUGUAACUGUAUAUACUCCUGUUUACUACAUUAAGUUAUUGUUUUGAGAAAGGCCAAAUUUAAAAGGGAAAGUGUUUUGAGCAAGCAAUGGUAUUUAAUUACUUCAAUAAUUUAGUAAAGUAAGCAAAGCAAUUAUUGUAUGGAAGUAAAUGAAAUGAAAAUAUAAUAAAAUAAAAAUUAAUAAUAAAAAAUAAUGUCAAAUGUUAAA
Bactrocera neohumeralis is the source of this 2886-nucleotide long non-coding RNA. RefSeq lists it as uncharacterized. The transcript has 2 exons. The record is from RefSeq and is a predicted model, not a curated record. NCBI's taxonomy places the organism in Eukaryota, Metazoa, Arthropoda, Insecta, Diptera, Tephritidae.